Non-coding RNA from Cicer arietinum (chickpea), 740 nucleotides. The record is from RefSeq and is a predicted model, not a curated record. NCBI's taxonomy places the organism in Eukaryota, Viridiplantae, Streptophyta, Magnoliopsida, Fabales, Fabaceae.
AGUUAACUAUAGUGUAAAAUGUCAAACAACAGUCUCAAAUAUUGUGAUGGCCAUUAGUGUGAUUUUGUUCCUGCAAUUAUUUGCAAGGCUCUUAUACUACACCCUUAUGGCUAUCCUUGCUGCUAUCAUCCUCUAUGCACUUCCUGGAUUAAUCGAUGUAAAUGAGGCUCGCUAUAUCUGAAAGGUUGACAAGCUAGACUUUCUUGCCUGUAUUGGAGCUUUCGUUGGCGUCUUGUUUACAUUUGUAGAGAUUGGUCUUCUUGUAGCUGUGACAAUCUCAUUUGCAAAGAUACUAAUACAAUCAAUUCGACCUGGAGUAGAAAUUCUAGGUAGAGUUCCAAGAACAGAAGUCUUCUGUGAUGUAACUUAAUAUCUGAUGGUUGUAAGCACGCCUGGCAUCAUAGUGAUUCACAUAAGUUUCGGCUCACUCUGCUUUACAAAUGCCAAUUUUGUCAAAGAAAGGCAAGCACUUAACAAAUUAUCUAGAAAGUGGUUUAGUCAUAAUAACAGCUAUGUAUGAACUUUUUUCACUUAUUCCAGAAUACUUUUUUCACUUUUUAUAGCUGUAUUGCUAGAACUUAUACAUAUUUAUUUACAUCCAAAUUCUACUACCUACCCUGUAUGUGAGAAAGUGAAAGGUAAAAGAUGUGUAUAGUAUUCUCAAGUUUAUAGAGAUAUUUCUUGGAUACAAAUAUGCUACUAAUUUCAAUAGUAUCAUUUAUAAGCAUUUAUGUUGUCAA